GACGAACGCUGGCGGCGUGCUUAACACAUGCAAGUCGUACGGUAAGGCCCUUUCGGGGGUACACGAGUGGCGAACGGGUGAGUAACACGUGAGUAACCUGCCCUUGACUUUGGGAUAACUUCAGGAAACUGGGGCUAAUACCGGAUAGGAGCUCCUGCUGCAUGGUGGGGGUUGGAAAGUUUCGGCGGUUGGGGAUGGACUCGCGGCUUAUCAGCUUGUUGGUGGGGUAGUGGCUUACCAAGGCUUUGACGGGUAGCCGGCCUGAGAGGGUGACCGGCCACAUUGGGACUGAGAUACGGCCCAGACUCCUACGGGAGGCAGCAGUGGGGAAUAUUGCACAAUGGGCGGAAGCCUGAUGCAGCAACGCCGCGUGCGGGAUGACGGCCUUCGGGUUGUAAACCGCUUUCGCCUGUGACGAAGCGUGAGUGACGGUAAUGGGUAAAGAAGCACCGGCUAACUACGUG
This 464-nucleotide ribosomal RNA is filed under the name uncultured bacterium. Its description in RNAcentral is "partial 16S ribosomal RNA". It matches the Rfam family "Bacterial small subunit ribosomal RNA", at positions 28 to 507 of the family's 1533-position model. The record is from RNAcentral.